AGGGAAAUAGCUCAGUGGUAGAGCACAUGCUUAGCAUGCAUGAGAUCUGGGGAUCAAUCCCUAGUAACUCCA
Molecule: transfer RNA, 72 nt
Filed under: Camelus bactrianus (Bactrian camel)
Lineage: Eukaryota; Metazoa; Chordata; Mammalia; Artiodactyla; Camelidae
Also listed under: 1 other name
Rfam family: tRNA
About the family: Transfer RNA (tRNA) molecules are approximately 80 nucleotides in length. Their secondary structure includes four short double-helical elements and three loops (D, anti-codon, and T loops). Further hydrogen bonds mediate the characteristic L-shaped molecular structure. tRNAs have two regions of fundamental functional importance: the anti-codon, which is responsible for specific mRNA codon recognition, and the 3' end, to which the tRNAs corresponding amino acid is attached (by aminoacyl-tRNA synthetases). tRNAs cope with the degeneracy of the genetic code in two manners: having more than one tRNA (with a specific anti-codon) for a particular amino acid; and 'wobble' base-pairing, i.e. permitting non-standard base-pairing at the 3rd anti-codon position.
Source: Rfam by way of RNAcentral